This 1429-nucleotide long non-coding RNA is filed under the name Hordeum vulgare. Its description in RNAcentral is "long non-coding RNA (HVUL_LNC008976)". The record is from RNAcentral. Lineage: Eukaryota; Viridiplantae; Streptophyta; Magnoliopsida; Poales; Poaceae.
CCUGACAUACUGGCUUCCCGAAGAUUCAAACUGUCAAUCACAACAUUGAAUAAGAAAGGUUAGUGAGUGUCGAAACGAUCAUUAUUUUCUCUUCCUGGUACCUAAGGAUAUUGAAGUCACCUCCAAUAAGCAUUGGGUGCGGGUUAUCCUAGCCAGGUUCACCAAUUCUUGAAGAAAAGGAGAUUUAUUUUCAUCAUGGGCAGCACCGUAGACCGCGACCAAACUCCAUGUGAAAUUAUCAGCUUUUUUUCGGAGAUGGAAUUUGCUAUGAAAUUCACCAGCCGAAAAAGCUAACAAGUCCAUGGUUAUGAUCUCUAUCCCAAGUAAGAAUCCUCCGGACCUUCCACGUGGUGGUAAACUAUGCCAUGUGUAGUCAAAACCACCAGAUAGGUGAUCAAAGACAUGUGCACGAAAGUCACAGUUACCUGCCUCAGAAACUGCCACAAAAUCCAAUCCAUGCUCACGCACACAGUCAUCGAUUUGUUUAUGUUUAGCCAAGUAUAAAAGACCUCUACUAUUCCAAAACAUGCCUCUCAUAUGGAAACUCGGGUUGGGGUGGACACCUUCGCCUUUUUGGAAGGUUUUUUUUUCUUUUUUGAAGAAUGGGAUUUAGAUUUAUGUAAAGACUCAGUGAAGUCACAAAACAUGGACCCAUGUCGUGCGUCAUCAUCUAAUCCAACCUCAGUUACCGCACCAACCAAGUGGAAGAGAAGCGGACCAUCAUAUGGGGCCGCUGGUUCCUCCUCCUUAGUUUCGGUGUACGACAAGAGGCUCAAACAUUCAAGGGAAACCUUUAAUCGGUCAAUCUCCAUGUGUUUUAGUGCCCCACGGAAAUACACACAUCAUUAUCAUUCUUUCCAAUUGUAACUCCAACGUCAUUUAAAUUAGAACAAAUACGAGAAUGGGAAAAAGAAAGAAAUGACUUUCUGCAAAGUGUACCUAUUGAUGAGUCAAAUUACGCUCUGCCUGAUGCCGCAUCACCGUCGAGAGAGAGAGAGAGAGUUCUCGUACGUGGCCGAGGACCCAUCAGAGGUGGAGAAGUGACAGUCGUUGCGCCGGAUGGGAGUAGUAUUCGCCCUGGCCUAAGUAGAAUGGAUCGUCGGCAGCGGUGUUGGAGUAGACGGAGGUGAUCUCAACGGUGCAGCAGCCCGAGUCACUAGUGACACAUCAACAACGGGUGCCGAGGAGAUCUCCUUACUACGCUCCAUGGCUGAACUGAGUUGAACCGCGGCAGCCAGAGUACAGAGAGGCGCACUUUGUUGUGGUGACGAAGACGCAGGAGUAUGUUAGGCAUAAGCCACAGCGGACGCGUCGGGAGUGCGUGUGUGCGCAGGCGGGACGCAUCAGACGCGAUGGCGGGUGGGCGUGUGUCCGUGAGCGUGUGAGCACGGGCGUGUUCGUGCGGUGCACUGGGUGUGCGCGAGUCUAG